GAACUGUGCGAACGUUAUUCGGAAUCACUGGGCUUAAAGGGUGCGUAGGCGGUUAUCUAAGUCAGGUGUGAAAUCUCUCGGCUCAACCGGGAAACUGCGCUUGAAACUGGGUGACUGGAGGGAUGCAGGGGUGUGUGGAACUUCCGGUGGAGCGGUGAAAUGUGUAGAUAUCGGAAGGAACGCCAGCAGCGAAAGCGGCACACUGGGCAUUUACUGACGCUGAGGCACGAAAGCUAGGGGAGUGAACGGGAUUAGAUACCCCGGUAAUCCUAGCCGUAAACACUGAGCACUGGAGGAGGGAGGCUUCGGCCUUCUUUCUCGUAGCGAAAGCGUUAAGUGCUCCGCCUGGGGAGUAUGGUCGCAAGGCUG
This 369-nucleotide ribosomal RNA is filed under the name uncultured bacterium. Its description in RNAcentral is "bacterial SSU rRNA". It matches the Rfam family "Bacterial small subunit ribosomal RNA", at positions 527 to 896 of the family's 1533-position model. The record is from RNAcentral.